This 253-nucleotide ribosomal RNA is filed under the name uncultured bacterium. RNAcentral describes it as "partial 16S ribosomal RNA". It matches the Rfam family "Bacterial small subunit ribosomal RNA", at positions 524 to 776 of the family's 1533-position model. The record is from RNAcentral.
UACGUAGGGGGCAAGCGUUGUCCGGAUUUAUUGGGCGUAAAGAGCGUGUAGGCGGCCGUACAGGUCAGCUGUGAAAACUCGAGGCUCAACCUCGAGACGUCGGUUGAAACCGUACGGCUAGAGUCCGGAAGAGGAGAGUGGAAUUCCCGGUGUAGCGGUGAAAUGCGCAGAUAUCGGGAAGAACACCCGUGGCGAAGGCGGCUCUCUGGGACGGUACUGACGCUGAGGAGCGAAAGCGUGGGGAGCGAACAGG